RNAcentral lists this ribosomal RNA (253 nucleotides) under uncultured bacterium. RNAcentral's name for it is "partial 16S ribosomal RNA". It matches the Rfam family "Bacterial small subunit ribosomal RNA", at positions 524 to 776 of the family's 1533-position model. The record is from RNAcentral.
UACGUAGGGGCGAGCGUUGUCCGGAUUUAUUGGGCGUAAAGAGCUCGUAGGCGGUUCGGUAAGUCAGAUGUAAAAACUCCAGGCUCAACUUGGAGAGGCCAUCUGAUACUGCCGUGACUAGAGUCCGGUAGAGGAGCACGGAAUUCCUGGUGUAGCGGUGAAAUGCGCAGAUAUCAGGAGGAACACCAGCGGCGAAGGCGGUGCUCUGGGCCGGAACUGACGCUGAGGAGCGAAAGCGUGGGGAGCGAACAGG